Cucumis sativus (cucumber) is the source of this 1654-nucleotide long non-coding RNA. RefSeq lists it as uncharacterized. The transcript is spliced from 4 exons. The record is from RefSeq and is a predicted model, not a curated record. NCBI's taxonomy places the organism in Eukaryota, Viridiplantae, Streptophyta, Magnoliopsida, Cucurbitales, Cucurbitaceae.
CUCCUUGAACACUCUUCCUCUUUCUUGUGUCCUACCACCGUUGCUUAUCCUUGACUCUCCAUCAAUCGAGCAGCCGUUGAAGCCUCCGAUCGUUGAAGUCGAGCGCUAGCUAAGUUGCACGUCGUGUACGUCGCGUCUCCAUUAGCCCGAGUCGCUCCUGUCCGGUCGAAGUCAAAGCUGAAACAUUAUGCUUUUCGGGUUUAAGUCGAGUGUGCAUUUAUGCUCCUUCUCUAUUUCGUGAAAUGUCGCUGCUGCAUCCUUCGAGUCACCUCUGAUGUGUCGUGAUCCAUCAUCUCUUUGACUUGAACUGAAACACCGACGUCUGUUCCCUGUUUUGUGCUGCCACGUUCAUUGCAGCUUCAUCUUUGUCUAUGCUAAGUUCAAUCGUGAUUCCAGUAGUCUUCGAGCCACGCUCAGAUCUGAGUUGUUGCCUCUGUCUUGUUGUAAACUGUCGUCGUUGUGGUACUGUUUGAGGAUAGCGAUCAGAUCCUUGAAUUUUCAAUAAGUUUGAUUUGUGUUUGAUCCUCCAAUUACUUGGGCAAAGAUAAUACGAGAGGUAGACCAACGAGGGACAAGAAGGACUCGUGAUCGCCAUAUGAGAACUCAAUUUUCACAAUUUGCUUCCGCUUAUUAUUAUUAUUAUUAUUUUUUGCUAAGUUCUGAUGGUUGAAAGUUUUACGUUUAGAACAACUACUUAGUUGUUAGUGAUUUUAUUUUUAUUUUGUUUGAAUAGGGCUCAAGUUGAAUUCUAUUUGACUAUUGUUCUUUAAACAAUUUGCAAAUCUUUUAUGUUAUUGAUGAUUUAUUUUGGGUGAUUUAUUAGAGAGUCUUUAGGUCGAAGUAAUGAUCUCUAACUUAGUUUGAAAAGUUGGGUCGUUACACUUAGUCUCCUUUCGGGAUCCUAAUGACUAAGCCUAAAUAAUCAGUUUCGGGUUAUAUAUAUCUAGAAGUGUUUACUUAUAAAACUCAAAGAGCUUCUCGUUUAAGGGCAACAUUCUCUCCAUGCCUAACGCCCACACUUGUUCUCCUUUCAGGAUACAAAUGAUGGAUGUUAUCUCAGACAAGGACUGAUGGUGUUAUUCCUUAGUGUCAAAGGUUUAAGGUUGUUCCGUUUGGCAUAGAACUGUGUUUCUCAAUGGGCUAGGAGCAGACCAUCGAAUAAAGCCUUUAGGCUUGCAGUCUAUGAGUCCUCCAACCGGAAUUGAUGGACUUGCACCCAUGUUAUCAUUGAAGGGAACGUCGAAAACGCUUUCUUCUGUUGUAUGUUUUUGAGAUAUCCGAAGCAUGCUUCUUGAAGUUGCCAUUGUAGUGGUGGAAAAAUAGGAGAGGGCCAACAAGGAGAUGAGGAAGAAAACUAGAGUGCAUCGGACUGAAGCCAUUUUAAGAUAAUGCAACAAAUAGAUGAGAGAUUAACGGCGAGACUUUUUUUUUUUUUUUCUCUCUCUCUAUUGGAAUGAAGGUGAUUUUACUUUCAUGGGGGAGAGUGCUUUAAAUAUAGUUGAGAAGAGAGAGAGAUGCAUGUGAAGGAAGAUAAGUUUAGAAAAUAUUGGAGGUAAGUUGUUCUAAAAAUAAGCUAGUGCAUUCCAUAACUGGAAAAUCUAUGUUUGUCAUCAAAUAAUAAUGGUUCUAAUGAUUUGACUAAAAUUUAUAACCA